RNAcentral lists this ribosomal RNA (254 nucleotides) under uncultured bacterium. RNAcentral's name for it is "partial 16S ribosomal RNA". It matches the Rfam family "Bacterial small subunit ribosomal RNA", at positions 524 to 776 of the family's 1533-position model. The record is from RNAcentral.
UACAGAGGGGGCAAGCGUUAUUCGGAAUUAUUGGGCGUAAAGGGCGCGUAGGUGGCCCGGUCAGUCCGUGGUGAAAGCGCGGGGCUCAACCCCGCGUCGGCCAUGGAUACUGCUGGGCUGGAGCACUGUAGAGGCAGGCGGAAUUCCGGGUGUAGCGGUGGAAUGCGUAGAGAUCCGGAAGAACACCGGUGGCGAAGGCGGCCUGCUGGGCAGUUGCUGACACUGGAGGCGCGACAGCGUGGGGAGCAAACAGG